Molecule: long non-coding RNA, 329 nt
Filed under: Mytilus galloprovincialis (Mediterranean mussel)
Lineage: Eukaryota; Metazoa; Mollusca; Bivalvia; Mytilida; Mytilidae
Source: RNAcentral
GAGAUACUGGAAUAGACUCAUUCGAUUUGACAACAACCGCAUCACCAAAUUAGCAUUCGAUAUUGACUAUGAUCGCUGUAAAAGUAAUUGGUGUAGUGAAGUAAAGGAUAUACUAGACCAGCUUGAACUAGGACAUUUUUACGAACUGAAAUCAGAGGUCGACUUAUCAUUGGUUGAAACUAACAUUUUUCGUCUGUAUUCAGAUAUCUGGAGAAAUUCCGGCCAAAACGUUUCAAAAUUACGAACAUAUAGGAUCUUUAAAACAGUCUUUGAAACUGAAAAUUACGUUAAUUUGAACUUGAGUAAAAUUGAGCGGUCACACUUAGCGC